RNAcentral lists this ribosomal RNA (769 nucleotides) under uncultured bacterium. Its description in RNAcentral is "bacterial SSU rRNA". It matches the Rfam family "Bacterial small subunit ribosomal RNA", at positions 28 to 776 of the family's 1533-position model. The record is from RNAcentral.
AUUGAACGCUGGCGGCAGGCCUAACACAUGCAAGUCGAGCGGCAGCGACUUAACUGAACCUUCGGGGAACGUUAAGGGCGGCGAGCGGCGGACGGGUGAGUAAUGCCUGGGAAUAUGCCCUGAUGUGGGGGAUAACUAUUGGAAACGAUAGCUAGUACCGCAUAAUCUCUUCGGAGCAAAGAGGGGGACCUUCGGGCCUCUCGCGUCAGGAUUAGCCCAGGUGGGAUUAGCUUGUUGGUGAGGUAAUGGCUCACCAAGGCAACGAUCCCUAGCUGGUCUGAGAGGAUGAUCAGCCACACUGGAACUGAGACACGGUCCAGACUCCUACGGGAGGCAGCAGUGGGGAAUAUUGCACAAUGGGGGAAACCCUGAUGCAGCCAUGCCGCGUGUGUGAAGAAGGCCUUCGGGUUGUAAAGCACUUUCAGUAGGGAGGAAGGUAGUGCAGUUAACACCUGCAUUAUUUGACGUUACCUACAGAAGAAGCACUGGCUAACUCCGUGCCAGCAGCCGCGGUAAUACGGAGGGUGCGAGCGUUAAUCGGAAUUACUGGGCGUAAAGCGCAUGCAGGCGGCCUGUUAAGUCAGAUGUGAAAGCCCGGGGCUUAACCUCGGAAUUGCAUUUGAAACUGGCAGGCUAGAGUCUUGUAGAGGGGGGUAGAAUUUCAGGUGUAGCGGUGAAAUGCGUAGAGAUCUGAAGGAAUACCAGUGGCGAAGGCGGCCCCCUGGACAAAGACUGACGCUCAGAUGCGAAAGCGUGGGGAGCAAACAGG